Molecule: unclassified non-coding RNA, 279 nt
Filed under: plant metagenome
Description: partial contains small subunit ribosomal RNA, internal transcribed spacer 1, and 5.8S ribosomal RNA
Source: RNAcentral
UUUCCGUAGGUGAACCUGCGGAAGGAUCACUAUUGAACAACCGAGCUGCGUGGUCUCUCUCCCACCCGACAGGUCGCGCACGCCCGAGUGCCUUCACACCCAUCCAUCUCAACCCUACGUGCACCACCGCGAGGGACCAACUUUGGCUUGUUCGGAGGGGGGGUUUCGUUUUCCCAUAAACAUUGUAUGCAGUGUAGAAUGUACAUUUUGUUUUUGCGAUCACGCUGUCAAAUCAACUUUGAACACCGGAUCUCUUGACUCACGCACCGAUGAAGAACA